GUGGGGAAUAUUGGACAAUGGGCGAAAGCCUGAUCCAGCCAUGCCGCGUGUGUGAAGAAGGUCUUCGGAUUGUAAAGCACUUUAAGUUGGGAGGAAGGGCAGUAAGUUAAUACCUUGCUGUUUUGACGUUACCGACAGAAUAAGCACCGGCUAACUUCGUGCCAGCAGCCGCGGUAAUACGAAGGGUGCAAGCGUUAAUCGGAAUUACUGGGCGUAAAGUGCGCGUAGGUGGUUUUGUAAGUUGGAGGUGAAAUCCCCGGGCUCAACCUGGGAACUGCCUCCAAAACUGCAUGACUAGAGUACGGUAGAGGGUAGUGGAAUUUCCUGUGUAGCGGUGAAAUGCGUAGAUAUAGGAAGGAACACCAGUGGCGAAGGCGACUACCUGGACUGAUACUGACACUGAGGUGCGAAAGCGUGGGGAGCAAACAGGAUUAGAUACCCGUGUAGUCC
This 450-nucleotide ribosomal RNA is filed under the name uncultured bacterium. RNAcentral's name for it is "partial 16S ribosomal RNA". It matches the Rfam family "Bacterial small subunit ribosomal RNA", at positions 354 to 796 of the family's 1533-position model. The record is from RNAcentral.